GGGUUGUGAGGUUAAGCGACUAAGCGUACACGGUGGAUGCCUAGGCAGUCAGAGGCGAUGAAGGGCGUGCUAAUCUGCGAUAAGCGUCGGUAAGCUGAUAUGAAGCGUUAUACCCGACGAUACCCGAAUGGGGAAACCCAGUGUGUUUCGACACACUAUCAUUACGUGAAUACAUAGCGUAAUGAGGCGAACCGGGGGAACUGAAACAUCUCAGUACCCCGAGGAAAAGAAAUCAACCGAGAUUCCCCUAGUAGCGGCGAGCGAACGGGGAGGAGCCCAGAACCUGAAUCAGUUUGUGUGUUAGUGGAAGCGUCUGGAAAGUCGCACAGUAAAGGGUGAUAGUCCCGUACACAAAAAUGCACAGAUUGUGAGUUCGAUGAGUAGGGCGGGACACGUGACAUCCUGUCUGAAUAUGGGGGGACCAUCCUCCAAGGCUAAAUACUCCUGACUGACCGAUAGUGAACCAGUACCGUGAGGGAAAGGCGAAAAGAACCCCGGCGAGGGGAGUGAAAUAGAACCUGAAACCGUGUACGUACAAGCAGUGGGAGCCUUGAUUAAUCAGGGUGACUGCGUACCUUUUGUAUAAUGGGUCAGCGACUUAUAUUCUGUAGCAAGGUUAACCGUAUAGGGGAGCCGCAGGGAAACCGAGUCUUAACUGGGCGUUAAGUUGCAGGGUAUAGACCCGAAACCCGGUGAUCUAGCCAUGGGCAGGUUGAAGGUUGGGUAACACUAACUGGAGGACCGAACCGACUAAUGUUGAAAAAUUAGCGGAUGACUUGUGGCUGGGGGUGAAAGGCCAAUCAAACCGGGAGAUAGCUGGUUCUCCCCGAAAGCUAUUUAGGUAGCGCCUCGUGAAUUCAUCUUCGGGGGUAGAGCACUGUUUCGGCUAGGGGGUCAUCCCGACUUACCAACCCGAUGCAAACUACGAAUACCGAAGAAUGUUAUCACGGGAGACACACGGCGGGUGCUAACGUUCGUCGUGAAGAGGGAAACAACCCAGACCGCCAGCUAAGGUCCCAAAGUCAUGGUUAAGUGGGAAACGAUGUGGGAAGGCACAGACAGCCAGGAUGUUGGCUUAGAAGCAGCCAUCAUUUAAAGAAAGCGUAAUAGCUCACUGGUCGAGUCGGCCUGCGCGGAAGAUGUAACGGGGCUAAACCAUGCACCGAAGCUGCGGCAGCGACACUUAGGUGUUGUUGGGUAGGGGAGCGUUCUGUAAGCCGUCGAAGGUGGCCUGUGAGGGUUGCUGGAGGUAUCAGAAGUGCGAAUGCUGACAUAAGUAACGAUAAUGCGGGUGAAAAACCCGCACGCCGGAAGACCAAGGGUUCCUGUCCAACGUUAAUCGGGGCAGGGUGAGUCGACCCCUAAGGCGAGGCUGAAAAGCGUAGUCGAUGGGAAACAGGUUAAUAUUCCUGUACUCGGUGUUACUGCGAAGGGGGGACGGAGAAAGCUAGGUUAUCCGGGCGACGGUUGUCCCGGUUUAAGCGUGAAGGUGGAUGACUUUGGUAAAUCCGGGUCGUCAUUAACACUGAGGCGUGAUGACGAGUCACUACGGUGAUGAAGUAACCAAUGCUACGCUUCCAGGAAAAGCCUCUAAGCUCCAGGUAACAUCAAAUCGUACCCCAAACCGACACAGGUGGUCAGGUAGAGAAUACUCAGGCGCUUGAGAGAACUCGGGUGAAGGAACUAGGCAAAAUGGUGCCGUAACUUCGGGAGAAGGCACGCUGAUGGUAGGUGAAGUGACUUGCUCACGGAGCUGAAAUCAGUCGAAGAUACCAGCUGGCUGCAACUGUUUAAUAAAAACACAGCACUGUGCAAACACGAAAGUGGACGUAUACGGUGUGACGCCUGCCCGGUGCCGGAAGGUUAAUUGAUGGGGUCAGCCGCAAGGCGAAGCUCUUGAUCGAAGCCCCGGUAAACGGCGGCCGUAACUAUAACGGUCCUAAGGUAGCGAAAUUCCUUGUCGGGUAAGUUCCGACCUGCACGAAUGGCGUAAUGAUGGCCAGGCUGUCUCCACCCGAGACUCAGUGAAAUUGAACUCGCUGUGAAGAUGCAGUGUACCCGCGGCAAGACGGAAAGACCCCGUGAACCUUUACUAUAGCUUGACACUGAACCUUGAGCCUUGAUGUGUAGGAUAGGUGGGAGGCUUUGAAGCGUGGACGCCAGUCUGCGUGGAGCCAACCUUGAAAUACCACCCUUUAAUGUUUGAUGUUCUAACGUGGGCCCGUGAUCCGGGUUGCGGACAGUGUCUGGUGGGUAGUUUGACUGGGGCGGUCUCCUCCCAAAGCGUAACGGAGGAGCACGAAGGUUAGCUAAUCCUGGUCGGACAUCAGGAGGUUAGUGCAAAGGCAUAAGCUAGCUUGACUGCGAGAGUGACAGCUCGAGCAGGUGCGAAAGCAGGUCUUAGUGAUCCGGUGGUUCUGAAUGGAAGGGCCAUCGCUCAACGGAUAAAAGGUACUCCGGGGAUAACAGGCUGAUACCGCCCAAGAGUUCAUAUCGACGGCGGUGUUUGGCACCUCGAUGUCGGCUCAUCACAUCCUGGGGCUGAAGUAGGUCCCAAGGGUAUGGCUGUUCGCCAUUUAAAGUGGUACGCGAGCUGGGUUUAGAACGUCGUGAGACAGUUCGGUCCCUAUCUGCCGUGGGCGUUGGAAGAUUGAGAGGGGUUGCUCCUAGUACGAGAGGACCGGAGUGAACGCACCACUGGUGUUCGGGUUGUGAUGCCAAUUGCAUUGCCCGGUAGCUAAGUGCGGAAGAGAUAACCGCUGAAAGCAUCUAAGCGGGAAACUUGCCUCGAGAUGAGUCUUCCCUGGGUACUUGAUACCCCUGAAGGGCCGUUGAAGACUACGACGUAGAUAGGCUGGGUGUGUAAGCGUAGCGAUACGUUGAGCUAACCAGUACUAAUGACCCGAGAGGCUUAACCUUACAACACCGAAGGUGUUU
Molecule: ribosomal RNA, 2937 nt
Filed under: Pectobacterium versatile
Lineage: Bacteria; Pseudomonadati; Pseudomonadota; Gammaproteobacteria; Enterobacterales; Pectobacteriaceae
Description: 23S ribosomal RNA
Rfam family: Bacterial large subunit ribosomal RNA
Source: RNAcentral